GUAGUCCACGCCGUAAACGAUGAUCACUCGCUGUUUGCGAUACACAGUAAGCGGCUGAGCGAAAGCAUUAAGUGAUCCACCUGGGGAGUACGAUCGCAAGGUUGAAACUCAAAGGAAUUGACGGGGGCCCGCACAAGCGGAGGAACAUGUGGUUUAAUUCGAUGAUACGCGAGGAACCUUACCUGGGCUUAAAUGUAGAUUGCAUAGAUUGGAAACAGUCUUUCUCUUCGGAGCUAUUUACAAGGUGCUGCAUGGUUGUCGUCAGCUCGUGCCGUGAGGUGUCGGGUUAAGUCCCAUAACGAGCGCAACCCCUAUCGUUAGUUGCUAGCAGGUAAUGCUGAGGACUCUAGCGAGACUGCCACCGUAAGGUGAGAGGAAGGUGGGGAUGACGUCAAAUCAGCACGGCCCUUAUGUCCAGGGCUACACACGUGUUACAAUGGUCGGUACAAAGGGCAGCUACCUGGUGACAGGAUGCCAAUCCCUAAAGCCGAUCCCAGUUCGGAUUGGAGUCUGCAACCCGACUCCAUGAAGUUGGAAUCGCUAGUAAUCGCAUAUCAGCGAUGAUGCGGUGAAUGUGUUCCUGAGCCUUGUACACACCGCCCGUCAAGUGAUGGGAGUUGGGAGUACCCGAAGUCGGAUUGCUAACUUGUAAAAGAAGCGUCUGCCGACGGUAAGCUCGAUGACUGGCACU
This 691-nucleotide ribosomal RNA is filed under the name uncultured bacterium. RNAcentral's name for it is "bacterial SSU rRNA". It matches the Rfam family "Bacterial small subunit ribosomal RNA", at positions 790 to 1482 of the family's 1533-position model. The record is from RNAcentral.